UAACAGUGAAGACAGGUGAGUUUCAAUUAUCAUUAAAGCAUUUCAUCAGUAAGGUUGUGGAACGACGAGGUUAGGGAUGAUGAAUCACUUCUCCUCGAAGAUUAGUUUUUCAAGUAUUUGCGAACACGAACGUACAGCGGUUUUCUCUUUAUAGCCCCAUUGACAGUCCUAUUUACUAUAAUUGAUUUACAUCUAAUUUUACUCAUACAAAAAAAAAAUACUCAAAAAAACUCGUGUUACAAGCAUCAUCAACUACAUCAUCAACGUCUUCGUUCCUCAUCCACAAUGUAGAGCACUUACAGCCCCAGAUAGUCUUUUGUUGAAUGCUGCACUACCGGACACACAUCAACCUGUAGUCAAACUAUAACCCUUUUUAAUCCUAAUUUCAGGGAUGUUUUCCAAGCUUCACCUCUUAUGACGAUUUUGGUCAUGGAAGUAAGGCCAACACUCUGAUCACUGGGACCUUUCUCAUUCGAAAUUAAGGACUUCAAAUUUUCACACAUAGAGAUAUGAUAGAGGGACUGAUAGUGUGUACGCUUAGAAAGGGCUGACUGGCCAUUUUAUGGCAUCAGCGAUCCAUUGACUUCAUCCAAAGCUCCGGUAGAAGGGCCCCGGGACUACAAGAAAAGGUCUUCGAUUUAGUCAACGUCUUAUACGCAUUAGGUGUCAAUACACAAGCUGAGAAGGACGAGGAGGACACCACGCAACUGAGCUACCACCAAUCAAGGACCAUUUUCUAUGUGAAGGGGUUGGCCCUUGACUCCAUCGUCAUUUACUACCCUGAGGAAUUCAACUGGCCAUUAAGAUGUCCAAUCAGUCCUGUAUAGUUGAGGCACUGUUGUUGAUUCUUUGCUUCUCAAUCAAAACCCUACGUUUCUCCAUUUUUCACCAGCAAUUAUUCGAUGUCAUGUAUAUGAGAAGUGAUUGCAGGAGAGACAACUCGGAGAAAAUUUUGGUACUUCACCGAAGCAAGGAAAUGCCAAUAUUUAUCUUCGCUUGUGACAAAAGAAAGGGAGAGCUAGAGAGUAAGACUCACCGAUGACUUAGAAAUAGAGCGACCCAGGAUGCCCAGGAAUAAUACAUAAAAGUUCUAAUCAUGACUCGCAAUUCAAACCACUUACUCCGAACCAAAUUACUAGUUGUUAUAUCUGUGGAUCUCAGUACUGUGCAGUGUCCAGUCUUUAUAUGCAUGUAAACCUGAAGAACAAGUUCGACCCAUCAGUGCAAUUUAUAUUAAGAUUAUUUCUGAGAACGCAAAAUGACGUACGAGAGCUCAGGAUGAGUGAAAUUUGACAGGGAAAAGAUCUCAUCAUUAUUAUUUAAUCGAACAAUUCAUCGGAAAUAGCUGAUCUGUGAUCUUAUGAGCACUCCAAACACCCCACUCCAAAGAUGCUUUGAUUGUCAUUAGCCCUCGAGACAACGCGAUUGCUUCAGGACAUCGACUACUUCCAAUUCCACUCCUCAAGUUCUCCAAUCUGGGAGGAAAUAGCAAAGGACCUGGGUCAACGCUGGAACCACAACUGCUACACGAGCAUCAGCAAAAGAUCGUGAAAAUAGCUUGGGAGAACCAGGGCAUUUUCCUUCUGAAGGAGGGACACGAGGCCAAGACACUGAAGAUGCAAGCGAAGUUCGAAAACCUUUAAAAAAUCAAGCGUUUUCCUUGGUGCAAAUACCAUGAGUAGAUUACAUGGUAUUUUACAACAGCAAUAUCAUUUGUGGUAUAUUUGAAGUAUUUCUUUUUGUUUUCUUUUUUUCUUCAUAAAACAAUACUCUAUAUUGAAUGGAAUUACUAAUUGUUGAUCAGUCGUGAACUCCAAUGCUAAAAUAUUGAAGAUAAGGGCAGGAAACACAAGAUUUUUUUUCAAGUAAUAUUGUUGUCAAUCACAUCAGAAUUUCAAAUUUAUUGGCGUUCAUUUUCAGUUCUUGCAAAUAUCAAUUUUUAAUCAAAGUUUGUUCAUUCACCUUUCCUUUCAAAGUAAAUUAAAUUACCUUGGGGUAGAGCAUUGUAAUGCUGGAAAUUACAUUAGAAUAUGUGUGGAGUGAAAAUGCCACGAGAAUAUAUUGUCAUUACAAUUUAUUAUUCAUGUGAGUUAAUUUCUACCACUUUCCAAUGACAAGUUUUUUGGAAACUAAAAUUGGAUUUUCACACGAAUUUUACGCAAUUAUGAUUUUUAAUGUCCUCAGCUGGAUACAAGCACUUGGUAAGGAGGCUCCAAUAUCUGAAAAAGUAUUAAUUUUUGGUCUCUCAUCCUGAAUAAUUUAAUGAAAAGGGUAAUUUGAGUAAUUAAUUAUUAUGUUCAUUAGUACCUAUUAUAAAUAUAGUGCAGUGUUCUGAUAGAGAAAGGUCUCUUUAAGGAAGCCACG
Molecule: long non-coding RNA, 2364 nt
Organism: Diachasma alloeum
Lineage: Eukaryota; Metazoa; Arthropoda; Insecta; Hymenoptera; Braconidae
Exons: 3
Source: RefSeq, a predicted model, not a curated record